Non-coding RNA from Labrus bergylta (ballan wrasse), 747 nucleotides. NCBI's taxonomy places the organism in Eukaryota, Metazoa, Chordata, Actinopteri, Labriformes, Labridae. The record is from RefSeq and is a predicted model, not a curated record.
GAAUCCUUGGCUCUUUUGGCCGCAGUAUCUCGUGUUUACUGGCUUUGUGUACACACUCCUCACGCUCAAACUAUUCUGUCGUCAUUCACUGCGAGAUGUGUGACUGCACCUGCCAGACGGGUAUGAAGUAUGCAGAUUUGUCUGAACACGCUGAGCUCAGAUGUGUUUACCUCUGAGCUACAGCUGUCUGAUCAGUUUGUGACUGAGCCCUGAAGCAGUUUUUUUUAAUCAUCCGUGUAAUUAGAUCAGAGACGAUCUCACUCAUCUGAGAGAGACAUCGUGGACUGUCAGUGAUCGACAAUCAAACAGCCUUCAUGGAGACGUGUCCAAAACACUGAGAUGAACAAAAGUGGGAUCAUGUUGGAGUGGUUAAACAACACCGCCUCCACAGUAAAGAGUCACAGUGACCCCCUGACCCUCCAAACAGCAGGAGGCCGACCCUCAGUGAAGAGGCGGGAAUGUUUGAGCCUUUAUUGACCGCCGCCGACACUCAGCUCUGCGUUGUCCCCGCUGCUAAAUGACGUGUGUGUCGGUAUGUGUUUGUGUGUUAGCUGUCGGGGAGGACGAGCGGCGCUGAAUGGACGCUCACUUUCUCACAUCAGUAAAUUCAAGCCAUAGAGAAAAAGUCUCUCAGAGACGUGGGGCCGACUGUCAGAGCUACACGGUGAACAUUUGAGUUACAUUCACAGCGUUGGGUGAAAAUAAAACAGAAGUUCUGGUUCAUUUCUUUUAUUAAAAUGAACAAAA